GACGAACGCUGGCGGCGUGCCUAAUACAUGCAAGUAGAACGCUGAAGGAGGAGCUUGCUUCUCUGGAUGAGUUGCGAACGGGUGAGUAACGCGUAGGUAACCUGCCUGGUAGCGGGGGAUAACUCUUGGAAACGAUAGCUAAUACCGCAUAUUAGCAGUUUUUUCAUGAUAACUGUUUGAAAGCUGCAAUUGCACCACUACCAGAUGGCCCUGCGUUGUAUUAGCUAGUUGGUGGGGUAACGGCUCACCAAGGCGACGAUACAUAGCCGACCUGAGAGGGGGAUCGGCCACACUGGGACUGAGACACGGCCCAGACUCCUACGGGAGGCAGCAGUAGGGAAUCUUCGGCAAUGGACGGAAGUCUGAUCGAGCAACGCCGCGUGAGUGAAGAAGGAUUUCGGAUCGUAAAGCUCUGUUGUAAGAGAAGAAAGAGGGUGAGAGUGGAAAGUUCACACUGUGACGGUAUCUUACCAGAAAGGGACGGCUAACUACGUG
This 495-nucleotide ribosomal RNA is filed under the name uncultured bacterium. RNAcentral's name for it is "partial 16S ribosomal RNA". It matches the Rfam family "Bacterial small subunit ribosomal RNA", at positions 28 to 507 of the family's 1533-position model. The record is from RNAcentral.